UCAGGAUGAACGCUAGCUACAGGCUUAACACAUGCAAGUCGAGGGGAAACGACAUCGAAAGCUUGCUUUUGAUGGGCGUCGACCGGCGCACGGGUGAGUAACGCGUAUCCAACCUGCCCACCACUUGGGGAUAACCUUGCGAAAGUAAGACUAAUACCCAAUGAUAUCUCUAGAAGACAUCUGAAAGAGAUUAAAGAUUUAUCGGUGAUGGAUGGGGAUGCGUCUGAUUAGCUUGUUGGCGGGGUAACGGCCCACCAAGGCGACGAUCAGUAGGGGUUCUGAGAGGAAGGUCCCCCACAUUGGAACUGAGACACGGUCCAAACUCCUACGGGAGGCAGCAGUGAGGAAUAUUGGUCAAUGGGCGAGAGCCUGAACCAGCCAAGUAGCGUGCAGGAUGACGGCCCUAUGGGUUGUAAACUGCUUUUAUAAGGGAAUAAAGUGAGUCUCGUGAGACUUUUUGCAUGUACCUUAUGAAUAAGGACCGGCUAAUUCCGUGCCAGCAGCCGCGGUAAUACGGAAGGUCCGGGCGUUAUCCGGAUUUAUUGGGUUUAAAGGGAGCGUAGGCCGGAGAUUAAGCGUGUUGUGAAAUGUAGAUGCUCAACAUCUGAACUGCAGCGCGAACUGGUUUCCUUGAGUACGCACAAAGUGGGCGGAAUUCGUGGUGUAGCGGUGAAAUGCUUAGAUAUCACGAAGAACUCCGAUUGCGAAGGCAGCUCACUGGAGCGCAACUGACGCUGAAGCUCGAAAGUGCGGGUAUCGAACAGGAUUAGAUACCCUGGUAGUCCGCACGGUAAACGAUGGAUGCCCGCUGUUGGUCUGAAUAGGUCAGCGGCCAAGCGAAAGCAUUAAGCAUCCCACCUGGGGAGUACGCCGGCAACG
This 879-nucleotide ribosomal RNA is filed under the name uncultured bacterium. Its description in RNAcentral is "bacterial SSU rRNA". It matches the Rfam family "Bacterial small subunit ribosomal RNA", at positions 24 to 893 of the family's 1533-position model. The record is from RNAcentral.